AUCAAAGAGAGGGGAGAAAUUUGAAGCAGUGUAUUUUAAGAGGUUGUUUUAAAAUAUGGAAACUGGGAAUGAAGUGGACCUAACUCUUACAGGUAAUGUAAUAGUUUAUACACUAUGAUCCUUCGUUUAAAAGGCAUAUCUUGUAACCAAUUUUAUUUGUGUCAAUAACCUUGAGGAUUGUUUUCUCUAUACUUCCAGCUUUCACAGGAAAAUGACAUAGAGACUUUGAUGGUUCUAAUGCUUUCAGCUCAAGUCUCAAGUUCUCAGUGACCUAACUGCAAGACAGUAGUGUAAAGGAGAGACAUGCCUUCUUGGAUUCAGAAAACAAGUCUUUAAUUAUACAACUGAACUGUUAGUCAUUUCAUUACUUUCUUACUGUAUGGAAAUAAGUGUGAGGAAAGAAAAAAAGUGACUCAAGAACAUCACUGGAUAUUUUUAGAACAUUUCUACUUGUUACUGUUGCUCCAGAAUUAUCUUCCACCAAGAAUGGGAAAAGAACUUCAUUUAAAAAUAAUAAAAAUGUACCAUAUUAAACAACAAACUUAUGGAGAUGAAUAAAAAACCAUCUUUGUCCUCAAUGGGCUCAUUAAGAAAGAAGGUAAACAUGUACAUAAAUUAGUAAUAAGCUUAGUGCCACUAUGCUAGCAACUUAACAUUAGUAAAUACAAGGCACAUCGAUGGCACAAGGGAGACUAACUCUACCUAGAAGGUCCACAUUAACAUUAUUAAGGCUCGAGAUUUAAACUGAGUUUUCAAGAAUGGGUUAUUUCCUGAGUGGUAGUGAGCUAAGUGAUUUAUAUGGAUUAUCUGUUCAAAUCCUCAGUAUUAUUUGUGAUAGGUAACCCCAUUUUACAUAUGAAUUCAGGUGAUUUAGUCUAGCACUUACUCUGAAUACUAUAACCUGACACACAUAAGUACACAAAGAUAGUCACAAAGGAAAAGGACUUUAUAAGACUGUAACUCUUUCACUUACAUACAAAAAUAUGGGACCAGAAUGCUUUAAAAAUUAGUCAAAG
RNAcentral lists this long non-coding RNA (1016 nucleotides) under Fukomys damarensis (Damara mole-rat). RNAcentral's name for it is "lncRNA (ENSFDAG00000028304.1)". Lineage: Eukaryota; Metazoa; Chordata; Mammalia; Rodentia; Bathyergidae. The record is from RNAcentral.